Molecule: ribosomal RNA, 445 nt
Filed under: uncultured bacterium
Lineage: Bacteria
Description: partial 16S ribosomal RNA
Rfam family: Bacterial small subunit ribosomal RNA
Source: RNAcentral
GUAAGGAAUAUUGGUCAAUGGAGGCAACUCUGAACCAGCCAUGCCGCGUGCAGGAAGAAGGCGCUACGCGUUGUAAACUGCUUUUAACCGGGAAGAAACCCCAGGACGUGUCCUGGGUUGACGGUACCGGAGGAAUAAGCACCGGCUAACUUCGUGCCAGCAGCCGCGGUAAUACGAAGGGUGCAAGCGUUAUCCGGAUUCAUUGGGUUUAAAGGGUGCGUAGGCGGAGCGUUAAGUCAGUGGUGAAAUCCUGCAGCUUAACUGUAGACUUGCCAUUGAUACUGGCGCUCUUGAGUGCGCUUGAAGUGGGCGGAAUGUGCCGUGUAGCGGUGAAAUGCUUAGAUAUGGCACAGAACACCAAUUGCGAAGGCAGCUCACUAAGGCGAUACUGACGCUGAGGCACGAAAGCGUGGGGAUCGAACAGGAUUAGAAACCCGGGUAGUCC